This 64-nucleotide microRNA precursor is filed under the name Myotis brandtii (Brandt's bat). Its description in RNAcentral is "mir-9242 microRNA precursor family". It matches the Rfam family "mir-9242 microRNA precursor family". Lineage: Eukaryota; Metazoa; Chordata; Mammalia; Chiroptera; Vespertilionidae. The record is from Rfam by way of RNAcentral.
GGCCUCCCUCUGUGGGGCAAUCGAUCGCCGGGCCCCCUGAUCCAUGGCCCCACAGAGGGAGGCC